CUCAUCUCCUUUUGUUUCAAGAUGAUUAAGAUCAAAGCCAGGUUUCCGGAGAUCCCCAGAAUGAUCACAGCUCCAUAAGCAAGAGCUAAGAUUGGACAAAUGCACAGUAUGUUUCUUCAAAUCAUUUUAACUGUUCAACUUAUUCUUCUUUCCCUUAUUGGAAUCCAUUUACUGUAAUUAUUCUCAAUUCUUCAUUCCCAUGAGCUGAACAACCUAUAAAGAGAAAAUGACCAAUUCAGUUACUAAUGGCAGUCAAAAUGAGUUUUGAUUUGUGGAACUCUUUAAAGUGAAGACAUUGAAGGAACGCCUUGGAAUGACUGCCUAACACUAAUGGUGUAAUCACACGUCUUCUCAAGAAUUCAAAAGGCAGAGGGAGAAUCAUCAGUUAAUGCCAGUUUGGGUGUGAGAACAAACUUUGAAGCGCAGGAAAGGUAUCCUGCGAGGGGCCAGAAGGAGCUGCAAGGAUCCGCUGCUAUUUCUCUGGCUCAAACCCUAAAGAUUGGUGAAGAUAGGAAGAGACGCCCCUUAAAGCUGAACUCCACCUCAUCCCGAGAUCACAUGACGAAGCCCUGAGGAGCACCCGGGCUCCCCACACCCCCAACGCCUCCC
Molecule: non-coding RNA, 609 nt
Organism: Heterocephalus glaber (naked mole-rat)
Lineage: Eukaryota; Metazoa; Chordata; Mammalia; Rodentia; Bathyergidae
Source: RefSeq, a predicted model, not a curated record